Molecule: ribosomal RNA, 560 nt
Filed under: uncultured bacterium
Lineage: Bacteria
Description: bacterial SSU rRNA
Rfam family: Bacterial small subunit ribosomal RNA
Source: RNAcentral
AAGUCGAGGGGCAGCAUUUCAUUUUGCUUGCAAAGUGAAGAUGGCGACCGGCGCACGGGUGAGUAACACGUAUCCAACCUGCCGAUAACUCGGGGAUAGCCUUUCGAAAGAAAGAUUAAUAUCCGAUAGCAUAUCAAUCCCGCAUGAGAUUGAUAUUAAAGAAUUUCGGUUAUCGAUGGGGAUGCGUUCCAUUAGUUUGUUGGCGGGGUAACGGCCCACCAAGACUACGAUGGAUAGGGGUUCUGAGAGGAAGGUCCCCCACAUUGGAACUGAGACACGGUCCAAACUCCUACGGGAGGCAGCAGUGAGGAAUAUUGGUCAAUGGACGUAAGUCUGAACCAGCCAAGUAGCGUGAAGGAUGACUGCCCUAUGGGUUGUAAACUUCUUUUAUAUGGGAAUAAAGUAUUCCACGUGUGGGAUUUUGUAUGUACCAUAUGAAUAAGGAUCGGCUAACUCCGUGCCAGCAGCCGCGGUAAUACGGAGGAUCCGAGCGUUAUCCGGAUUUAUUGGGUUUAAAGGGAGCGUAGGUGGAUUGUUAAGUCGGUUGUGAAAGUUUGCGG